UACGUAGGCGGAAGAUUAAGUCAGUGGUGAAAUCCCGCAGCUCAACUGUGGAACUGUCAUUGAUACUGGUUUUCUUGAAUUUAGUUGAGGUAGGCGGAAUGUGUAAUGUAGCGGUGAAAUGCUUAGAUAUUACACAGAACACCGAUUGCGAAGGCAGCUUACUAAACUAUGAUUGACGCUGAGGUACGAAAGCGUGGGGAGCGAACAGGAUUAGAUACCCUGGUAGUC
Molecule: ribosomal RNA, 228 nt
Filed under: uncultured bacterium
Lineage: Bacteria
Description: partial 16S ribosomal RNA
Rfam family: Bacterial small subunit ribosomal RNA
Source: RNAcentral